Molecule: long non-coding RNA, 150 nt
Organism: Bufo bufo (common toad)
Lineage: Eukaryota; Metazoa; Chordata; Amphibia; Anura; Bufonidae
Exons: 4
Source: RefSeq, a predicted model, not a curated record
UCACAUCACCACCUCUACUGCACACAGGGUUAUAUUUAGAAGAUUAAGAAACUGACACAAGACCAUCAUCUUUUGGACAGUUUAUUAGACAAGAUACAUCUUAGCCAGUCUUCCUACAUCGGUUUAGGGGGAGCUCUUGGAGGUGCACCC